This 372-nucleotide unclassified non-coding RNA is filed under the name uncultured bacterium. RNAcentral's name for it is "contains 16S-23S intergenic spacer region". The record is from RNAcentral.
UCCGGUUUGUCACCGGCAGUCUCAUUAGAGUGCUCUUUCGUAGCAACUAAUCACAAGGGUUGCGCUCGUUAAUGGACUUAACCAAACAUCUCACGACACGAGCUGACGACGGCCAUGCAGCACCUGUCACUUGGCUCAAUAAAGCACUCUCGCCUUUCGGCAAAAUUCCAAGGAUGUCAAACCCUGGUAAGGUUCUUCGUUUAUCAUCGAAUUAAAGAACAUGAUCCACCGCUUGUGCGGCUCCCCGUCAAUUCCUUUAUGUUUUAGUCUUGCGACCGUACUCCACAGGCGGGAUACUUAACGCGUUAGCUUCGCUACUGGGGGGGUCGAUACCCCCAACAGCUAGUAUCCAUAGUUUACGGCGUGGACUAC